ACCAUGCACCGAAGCUGCGGCAGCGACGCUUAUGCGUUGUUGGGUAGGGGAGCGUUCUGUAAGCCUGCGAAGGUGGCCUGUGAGGGUUGCUGGAGGUAUCAGAAGUGCGAAUGCUGACAUAAGUAACGAUAAAGCGGGUGAAAAGCCCGCUCGCCGGAAGACCAAGGGUUCCUGUCCAACGUUAAUCGGGGCAGGGUGAGUCGACCCCUAAGGCGAGGCCGAAAGGCGUAGUCGAUGGGAAACGGGUUAAUAUUCCCGUACUUGGUGUUACUGCGAAGGGGGGACGGAGAAGGCUAUGUUGGCCGGGCGACGGUUGUCCCGGUUUAAGCGUGUAGGUGUGUGUUCCAGGUAAAUCCGGUUCACUUUAACACUGAGGCGUGACGACGAGGCACUACGGUGCUGAAGCAACAAAUGCCCUGCUUCCAGGAAAAGCCUCUAAGCAUCAGGUAACAUCAAAUCGUACCCCAAACCGACACAGGUGGUCAGGUAGAGAAUACCAAGGCGCUUGAGAGAACUCGGGUGAAGGAACUAGGCAAAAUGGUGCCGUAACUUCGGGAGAAGGCACGCUGACACGUAGGUGAAGUGAUUUACUCAUGGAGCUGAAGUCAGUCGAAGAUACCAGCUGGCUGCAACUGUUUAUUAAAAACACAGCACUGUGCAAACACGAAAGUGGACGUAUACGGUGUGACGCCUGCCCGGUGCCGGAAGGUUAAUUGAUGGGGUCAGCGCAAGCGAAGCUCCUGAUCGAAGCCCCGGUAAACGGCGGCCGUAACUAUAACGGUCCUAAGGUAGCGAAAUUCCUUGUCGGGUAAGUUCCGACCUGCACGAAUGGCGUAAUGAUGGCCAGGCUGUCUCCACCCGAGACUCAGUGAAAUUGAACUCGCUGUGAAGAUGCAGUGUACCCGCGGCAAGACGGAAAGACCCCGUGAACCUUUACUAUAGCUUGACACUGAACAUUGAGCCUUGAUGUGUAGGAUAGGUGGGAGGCUUUGAAGUGUGGA
This 1001-nucleotide ribosomal RNA is filed under the name Salmonella enterica. Its description in RNAcentral is "partial 23S ribosomal RNA". It matches the Rfam family "Bacterial large subunit ribosomal RNA", at positions 1186 to 2168 of the family's 2925-position model. Lineage: Bacteria; Pseudomonadati; Pseudomonadota; Gammaproteobacteria; Enterobacterales; Enterobacteriaceae. The record is from RNAcentral.